GAACACUUUUUACCGAUAUAGGGAGCUGUCAAAAUAAUGGGUAAUUUAUUUUUCCUAAUAAUGAGCAUUUUGUGCCCAUUUUCAUGUUGCCUGUUUUUACCCAUUAGUGGGUGAAAAACAAGUUAAAUUACAAAUAAACAAACGAUUUAGAAGCUCUUGGCGGAGGAAUGUCCACAAACGCCUUGUCACGUUCCCGAAACGAAAAGUCGAAGUAUCAGCCGUCGGGCUCGGGAUUAUUCUGGAGAUGCUGAUUUCCUUUGAUGUACACUCACCGCAGAAGAAGUCACGGAUUGGGGUGGACUACGUAGCCAGUAUGUCCCAAGGGAAACAAACAAAAGUUCGAUUGUUGCGGAAAACCAACUUGCGCAACAUAGCGCUAUUGAAAUGCUCCAUCCUCAGGUCAACAUUAUGCUGCAUUGAUCAUGCCCGUCGUCCACCAAAUGGAAUCGAAUCAGGCGGUCUUGCGCGGUGCUGAUUCCCUCCGUCGGCAGCUUCCGGUGAUUCAAAUUUAGGAGGAGGAAUUGUAAAAGCUCUCAAAUAACGCCGGAUUGUGCGCUGACCACUAUUGUCGGAAAAGCCAUCGAUUGCAGGAUUGAAUUCUGAGGCUGCUGCUGGAAGUACUUCCAUUCUGAUAGAUCCAGCAUAGUAAGUUUGGUGGAUUUAUCUACGACGAGAACUAAAUGCAAUCUGGUACGUGAUUCGGCAAAGCAGCAAAAAAGUCAGUCGACUCUGUAUUUUCACUAUUGAUAAAUUAUAAAUAAAGAACAACUAUUCCAUAA
This is a long non-coding RNA of Armigeres subalbatus, 779 nucleotides long. RefSeq lists it as uncharacterized. The record is from RefSeq and is a predicted model, not a curated record. Lineage: Eukaryota; Metazoa; Arthropoda; Insecta; Diptera; Culicidae. The transcript has 3 exons.